This is a non-coding RNA of Tribolium castaneum (red flour beetle), 112 nucleotides long. Lineage: Eukaryota; Metazoa; Arthropoda; Insecta; Coleoptera; Tenebrionidae. The record is from RefSeq and is marked provisional.
AUACGGUUUUAACUAAUUCUCAGGAUUCUUACUUGCGGUGUACAUGUUUUGGUAUGAAUAGUAAAUAUGUACAACCGUGAGUGGAGACUGGGGGUUGGUUAGUCAACAGCUU